Molecule: transfer RNA, 22 nt
Filed under: Osteocephalus mimeticus (Henle's slender-legged treefrog)
Lineage: Eukaryota; Metazoa; Chordata; Amphibia; Anura; Hylidae
Description: partial tRNA-Gln
Source: RNAcentral
UAGAGAGAUAGGAAUCGAACCU